UACACCAACUAACACAGUGGUGUAGCAAAGUGAUUACUAAAUAGUUACUCACAUUUUUGCACUAGUUUUUACAUGUUUCAUUUAAGCAUUUUAAACCUCAUAAAGUAUUAAGUUGAAGUUCUGCUAAACUAAUAUCUUUUAAAAAACCCUCAAGUUUAGAUUACUGACUCAAGAUGACAACAACUCUAGCAAGAAGCCAGCCGUAACCAAAUCUUUUCGUACAAAAUUCUAAGACUUAAAGGUGUUGAAACUCUGAUUGCAUUAUUCUGACAACAGAAUAUGGAAAAAUAAACAUACCCCCUGCUCCCUAUUCAACAGG
Molecule: long non-coding RNA, 319 nt
Organism: Vidua chalybeata
Lineage: Eukaryota; Metazoa; Chordata; Aves; Passeriformes; Viduidae
Exons: 2
Source: RefSeq, a predicted model, not a curated record